AGUUGAAUAGUGCAAUGAUGUGUGGUCUAUCAAAAAGUAUUUCGCGAUAUAUCACGUGGUGAUUGCAUAAUCAGUAAAAAAAGCUUUCAUCAAUUCUCUUAAAGUUAAUGCUCGUGACCAUUGGAUAGGAUGGCUCCACAUACCUAGAGAGACCAUGUUGUGGGCACACAAGAAGGGGGCCAUGUGUGUUAUAAAAUGGUAUCAAAACUGGUUAGUCGUUUAUGUUCUGACCCGAGAAGGGAUUAGUAACAUGUGUGGGUGUGCAACGAAGCCGUCGUAAUCUAAUAAUGGAGGUGAAUUGUAUCUAUAAUAUGUUAAUUAAAGGUUGAGUAUCUUGGAAUCUGUUAAGUAAAUAGAAUUGCUUCAGUAAUAUGGAAUUGGUCAAGUAAUGAUAUGGUUACCAAAAACAUAUAAAGGAAUGCAACCUAUGUACACCAAUUUUUUUCUAUGCUGGAUUUUCGCCAAAACAUUUACUAGAUUGUUACUAAGAUAAGAUGACUGUUAUGAUCGAAAGAUAGAGAUUGACUUUUUAUGCCAAUUGUAGUUUGCUAUUGUUGUGAACCUCUGACACAAGGUACAUCUAAAUGAAAAUGAAACCAUUCCCAUGGCCGUGACGAAAAGAAAGAUAGUUGGAAGCAACUAGCAAGUCUGAAGUGACUCACCUAACACACAACAACACAUGUAACUAUAUAAAAAUUCUUUACUGAACAAAAAAUGUUCGUAACUGAUCGGAAUUUGUAUGUACCGAUCUAUUUUUGUAACAAAAUCUAUACAUAUUGAUUUAUGUUGUCACUUAAAAUGCUACAUUAUCCGUUUGAAAAGAACCACCACAUAAAAUUAUUUGUUUACAUCAUAGAAACAGUGAUAUACAUACACAAAGCUGUGACAUCGAGUCUCAAUUACAUUACACAUUUACGAUGGCUGUUCAAAAAGAUUGAAUUUGGAAGACACUUUUUGAGUUUGGUAUUUCACCCUAAGAUACUUUGCACUUGAGGCAACCUUAUUUGCUAGUCAAAGACAUUGAUGCCCUUAUAAUAAAGAAAACCAAACCAGACUUCUAUUAGCCUAAACCCAACCAUACCAACCCUACCCUAUACCCCCUGUUCGGGAACGCGCUAGGCGCUAGUCGGGCGGUCGGGUUGGGCCUAUCGCCUAAAGAGAAAAUCAGGGAUUAAUCGAAAAUUAUACGGGGCGAAAUUUUUAGACCGUUUACUAUGUUAUAAAACAUGUUAAUCUUUAAUUGUGUAUAACAUUAAUACAUUUUCAUGUUUAAAAUUGUAUAAAACACACAAAUAGAAUAUAUAAACUUAAUAUAGUGUAAUUUUCAUCAAAAUUAUGAAUAUAAAUGAUAUUUAUAAAAUUUUAGAUCAAAUAAAUAAAUAAAAAUAUUAUUAAAAAUAAUUAAAAAUUAAAAAAAAAUAGAUUAGGCGGCCGCCUAGGCGUUUAGGCGGCCGCCUAAGCGGCUAGGCGGUCAUUUAGGCGGUCUAGGCGGAGAAAACCGGAUAUCCGAUUUUUUUAACCGAUUUGGCAUCGAUCGGAGCGGAAGAGUGACGCGUAGCGCCCAGACGGCUAGACGGCCGAUUUUUAGAAAAGGGCCUAUACCAAGUUUGAAACCCUAAAUUCUCAUCUUUCCUCAUUUUAAAUCACACACUUUUUUGAGAGAGAGAGAGAAAAAAAAAAACUUUGUGCCACGUAAAUUAAGAACCCUAGUUCCUCUAUCAUUGGCCUCACCCUCUAAAUCUUCUUUCUUGAUUUUUCGUCACAAACCUCCAUCUCACACACCGUCUGGAUCUCACACUCGAGUAGAGCACACAAUCAUUUUUUCGCAAGCAGGACAAAAAGUUCCGAACAACCGCCUCUCAGUGAGGCUGUUUUCUGGUACCCAUGUGGGCGUCUUAACAUUUACUCUAAGCCUGACCUCUUACCUCUCGUGACACUGAGGAGUUUGAGACUAUCAAAGCAUCUUGUUUCGGGAAAAUGUUUGAUUUGAUGGGCAACAUGUGGACGGGAGAGUUGUGGGCUUGUGACCUGUGGAUGGGUGAGUUGUAGUCGGGUGACAUGUGGUCGGGUGAGCUGUGGACUGGUGAACUAUUGUAGUGUGAGCUGUGUACGGACGAGCUGUGGUCAGGUGAGUUGUAGACGGGUAAGCCAUGAAGGAGCGUGCUGGGGACGUAAUGUUGUGUGGCUGACCACAAGGGAGUGUUGUGUGGACGGAGAGUCAACUUCCACCCAUGUAGCUUUCGUACUCCCUGCUUACUACGCUCCACCCAUGCAACAAUCAGAAGUUUCAGUGAAGUUUCAAAAACUAUUUUGUGUUCUAUGUUCCAUAUGUUUUCUCUUUUUAACUUGGCGUUUCUGUAGGGCGUAAGACGCCCAUGUAAUUUUUUCCAGACAGUAAGCUCUUCAUUGUUUUUGAGAUCAAAGAAUCCGUCUGUAAUGUUAAUGCUAAGGUUUACGUUUAAAAAAAAAGUAGUUGUGUA
This is a long non-coding RNA of Brassica napus (rape), 2480 nucleotides long. RefSeq lists it as uncharacterized. The transcript is spliced from 2 exons. NCBI's taxonomy places the organism in Eukaryota, Viridiplantae, Streptophyta, Magnoliopsida, Brassicales, Brassicaceae. The record is from RefSeq and is a predicted model, not a curated record.